RNAcentral lists this long non-coding RNA (441 nucleotides) under Ananas comosus (pineapple). RNAcentral describes it as "long non-coding RNA (ACOM_LNC009542)". Lineage: Eukaryota; Viridiplantae; Streptophyta; Magnoliopsida; Poales; Bromeliaceae. The record is from RNAcentral.
CUUGUUAUUUAAACUCAAAUUAUUAUCUCCCAUCUUUCUAUUUCUCUUAUUUUUUUGGAAAAACUUCAAAAACCCCCCCCUGUGGUUUCAUGCAUUCUCACUUUAGUACCCUGUGGUUUAAAACGUAUCAAUUUGCCCCCAUGUGGUUUCAUUUUUAUCUUUUCAGAAGCUUUUUCGUUAAUAUUUCGUUAAAUUAUAUACAAAAAACUUCAGAUAACUAUCUAUGUUUAUCGAAUAUUCACUUUAGUAUCCUUUAAUUUUAAUUUUGUCACUGAUUUAAGAAAAAAAAAUAAUAAAAUUGAUAACAAAAAGAGAAAAAUGAAACCACAGGGGGGCAAAUUGAUACGUUUUAAACCACAGGGUAUGAAAGUGAGAAUGCAUGAAACCACAGGGGGGGUUUUUGAAGUUUUCCCUAUUUUUUUUCCUUUAAUUUCUCCUCCU